GUUGGGGCGGGCCGGGGCGGCGGUACCGCCACUGUGGGGUCCGGGACGGGCCGCGGGCUCGGUGGUGGCGAGUUGUGGCGGAGCCCCGCGGCCGCCGGCGGCCUCGGCUGGUGCCUCUGGUGUUCGCCGCGUUUUGGUUUCCCCACGCAGGCGCAUGGGUGUCGGCCUCAAAGCCCCUGUAAAAGUUGGAGUGUGCCAUUUUGAAUGCGCCCUUACAAGUUUUACUUACUCUCCCGCGUAUUUAAGAUCUCAGCUACCCUCUAAUUACGCAGAACUAUUCAUGGUAUCUUCUGAAGCCAGGAUGGGAAAGGAGUCCAAUCAGGAGUCCAGCCAGAACUCUGAAGAUUUGCCCUGUCAUAACAGCAAGACAUUUGAAGAGGUUGAGGUUGGGAUUUAGAAGCCUUGAAAACCAGUUACAGCCCCAGUUUCAGCCAAGCAACUGACUUAAAAAUUGUGAUGAGGAGCUGCAGUCCAGCAAAGGUGGGAGACCCAGACAGUUCCUCAGCACUAGCCUGUCAAGAAGCUGCCUGGGGAAUAGGCCGAGACACUGAAAAGCUUGAGGAGAAUCAGACCUCUGUUGGGAUUAAAGGGCAUACAACAUGGAUUGCAGGACCAGGGGGCUGAUGUCUUAAAAGGUAGGUAUAGCCAUAUGAGACAAGUUGAUAGACCAUAUCUCCCACUGGAAGUUUCAAAAAGCAGGAAGCAUCUCUGUGGUUCAGUAUGGUUCUGGUUUAGUUUGGCUGAAAUGCUGUAUUCAGACUCAGGCUUCUCUGCUAGAUAAAACUGCCUCAUUUACGAAGUACUCUGUCUCAGUAAAGGUUUCAGUUGGUCCACUGAAAUAAAUAUAUUUUCUAUUUCA
RNAcentral lists this long non-coding RNA (859 nucleotides) under Apteryx owenii (little spotted kiwi). RNAcentral's name for it is "lncRNA (ENSAOWG00000010678.1)". The record is from RNAcentral. Lineage: Eukaryota; Metazoa; Chordata; Aves; Apterygiformes; Apterygidae.